This 774-nucleotide ribosomal RNA is filed under the name uncultured Serratia sp. Its description in RNAcentral is "bacterial SSU rRNA". It matches the Rfam family "Bacterial small subunit ribosomal RNA", at positions 725 to 1502 of the family's 1533-position model. The record is from RNAcentral. Lineage: Bacteria; Pseudomonadati; Pseudomonadota; Gammaproteobacteria; Enterobacterales; Yersiniaceae.
CGCCCCCUGACGAGACUGACGCUCAGUGCGAAAGCGUGGGGAGCAAACAGGAUUAGAUACCUGGUAGUCCACGCUGUAAACGAUGUCGAUUUGGAGGUUGUGCCCGUGAGGCGUGGCUUCCGGAGCUAACGCGUUAAAUCGACCGCUGGGGAGUACGGCCGCAAGGUUAAAACUCAAAUGAAUUGACGGGGGCCCGCACAAGCGGUGGAGCAUGUGGUUUAAUUCGAUGCAACGCGAAGAACCUUACCUACUCUUGACAUCCAGAGAACUUUCCAGAGAUGGAUUGGUGCCUUCGGGAACUCUGAGACAGGUGCUGCAUGGCUGUCGUCAGCUCGUGUUGUGAAAUGUUGGGUUAAGUCCCGCAACGAGCGCAACCCUUAUCCUUUGUUGCCAGCGGUUCGGCCGGGAACUCAAAGGAGACUGCCAGUGAUAAACUGGAGGAAGGUGGGGAUGACGUCAAGUCAUCAUGGCCCUUACGAGUAGGGCUACACACGUGCUACAAUGGCGUAUACAAAGAGAAGCGACCUCGCGAGAGCAAGCGGACCUCAUAAAGUACGUCGUAGUCCGGAUUGGAGUCUGCAACUCGACUCCAUGAAGUCGGAAUCGCUAGUAAUCGUAGAUCAGAAUGCUACGGUGAAUACGUUCCCGGGCCUUGUACACACCGCCCGUCACACCAUGGGAGUGGGUUGCAAAAGAAGUAGGUAGCUUAACCUUCGGGAGGGCGCUUACCACUUUGUGAUUCAUGACUGGGGUGAAGUCGUAACAAGGUAACCA